This 494-nucleotide ribosomal RNA is filed under the name uncultured bacterium. RNAcentral describes it as "partial 16S ribosomal RNA". It matches the Rfam family "Bacterial small subunit ribosomal RNA", at positions 29 to 507 of the family's 1533-position model. The record is from RNAcentral.
AUGCACGCUGGCGGCGUGCCUAAUACAUGCAAGUAGCACGCUGAAGGAGGAGCUUGCUCUUCUGGAUGAGUUGCGAACGGGUGAGUAACGCGUAGGUAACCUGCCUGGUAGCGGGGGAUAACUAUUGGAAACGAUAGCUAAUACCGCAUGACAACAGUUAUUGCAUGAUAACUGUUUAAAAGGGGCAACUGCUCCACUACCAGAUGGACCUGCGUUGUAUUAGCUAGUUGGUGAGGUAACGGCUCACCAAGGCGACGAUACAUAGCCGACCUGAGAGGGUGAUCGGCCACACUGGGACUGAGACACGGCCCAGACUCCUACGGGAGGCAGCAGUAGGGAAUCUUCGGCAAUGGACGGAAGUCUGACCGAGCAACGCCGCGUGAGUGAAGAAGGUUUUCGGAUCGUAAAGCUCUGUUGUAAGAGAAGAACGAGUGUGAGAGUGGAAAGUUCACACUGUGACGGUAUCUUACCAGAAAGGGACGGCUAACUACGUG